UCAUAAUUCAGUGAAGUGAGGUAUUUCAGUGAAUCAACAACUGGGGUUAUUAAGUUAUCAUAUUUUUGUAUUUGUGAUAAAAUAUAAUCAAAUAAAAUGGUAGGAUUGGCAUGGCUGAGCUUCCCAAUCUGCCUUCCAGAUGGUUUCACGUUUUCCUUAGUUAGACGCUUCAUUAUAUACUUGGCUCGGUCUAUGGUUUGAGCUUUAACUUUCACUAGGAGUGGAUGACUAUUGUAU
Molecule: long non-coding RNA, 237 nt
Filed under: Gallus gallus (chicken)
Lineage: Eukaryota; Metazoa; Chordata; Aves; Galliformes; Phasianidae
Source: RNAcentral